UGUAGUCUAUUAAGUGUGUGAAAGCAUUGUGUCUAAAAACCAAUAUACAUACUUCAAUUUUAAAAUACUUUUAUUGUUAACAAGAUGCUAAUCAUCAUCUGAUCCUUCAGCAAAUCAUAAUCUUUUUGCUGGUGAAAGGUCCUACUUCAAUAUUGAUGGCUGCUGGUCGGGGCGGUGGUUGCUGACGGCUGGGGUGGCUGUGGCAAUUUCUUAAAACAAGGCAACAGUGAAGUUUGCUGCAUCAGUUGAGUCUUUCCUUCAUGAAAGAAUUCUCUGUAGCAUGCACUGCUGUUUGAUAGCAUCUUACCAACAGUAGAAUUUCUUUCAAAAUUGGAGUCAGUCCUCUCAGAUCCUGCCAUUGCCUUGUCAUCC
This is a long non-coding RNA of Sapajus apella (tufted capuchin), 372 nucleotides long. RefSeq lists it as uncharacterized. Lineage: Eukaryota; Metazoa; Chordata; Mammalia; Primates; Cebidae. The record is from RefSeq and is a predicted model, not a curated record. The transcript has 3 exons.